Long non-coding RNA from Myxocyprinus asiaticus (Chinese sucker), 1212 nucleotides. RefSeq lists it as uncharacterized. Lineage: Eukaryota; Metazoa; Chordata; Actinopteri; Cypriniformes; Catostomidae. The transcript has 7 exons. The record is from RefSeq and is a predicted model, not a curated record.
GGGAGCAGCACAGUUGAACCCAUUUGCAAGUCCGCAACAAAGAUGUAGUUAAGGAUAUUUGGGAUGACAAAGUAAUUGCAGAAAAUGCUUUAAGUCAGAUCCCUUGUCCUUGGGUUUGAUUCUCUAUCAAGACUCAUUUGAAGUAGUCAAUCCAUUGGGUUCAGGAAAGAAAAAGCAUAAAGUGCUGGCAGUCUAUCUCACUUUAGGAGACAUUUUGCCUCACAAUCGAUCAACCACUGACUAUAUGCAAUUUGUUCUCCUUUGCAGAGAACAAGAUUUUCGGUACUUUGGACAAGACUCUGUGAUGGGACUGAAGGAUCUCAAAGACCUUGAGAUUCUGUGAAAUUGACAGACCCACAUUUGCGACUGACCCACUUGCCAAGGGACCCAACAGGACUGUGCAGUCAUAUAAAGCUGCAACAGAUGGUAGAGUUAAUUUGAGCACCUGCCAUUUCUUCUGGACAGAUCGCCUACUUAAAGAAUGAUGUCCACAACUUUGGGGGAGGAAGUACAGAAGGUCAUUUGCACAGCACUGCUUGGUCUUCUUGGAGUAAAGAUGGAGCAGUUGCUGCAGAGACUUCUUGGCUGGGGUGUGGAAAGCACCACCAAAGAAGAAGAAGUUGGACCCCUUGUGAUUAAACUCCUCCUAGCACAUUUCCGAGAGGAUCCAGAUGUACUUCUGCUCCUUGCAGAUAGGUGUGCCUCAGCAGCAGAUCUUCAAGCAACACACACCAUACCUGGGACCCUGUGACUCAUCGUGCUUGGAGACACCUUGACUACUGGGCACUGGAUGCUGAGCAUUGAAGGCGAGGUUGUGUGUGAGGGCACUCAGCCCACCUUCCUGUCUGGCCUUGCCACACUAUUUGCAGUGUACUACAUAUUCAACCUUGAGUACCGAGGUGGCGUGUACAUUGGAGUUUAUUCAAAGCCACUCCUUGGACCCUCUGACAGAUCAGGAUCUGGACCUGAAGCAUUUUUCAUUUUCUUGUUCAGAAGUUUAGCAGUUCAGUUAGUUUAGCUCACUUGGGGCCUUGUUGUUUGGCCAUGUUGGCCUGUUCAUGAAGUGUUGAAAUAUUGUGUCUUUGUGAUAUUUGAAACUGUUUUAUGAUGACCAUGUUGAUCAACUUAUGUUUAUAUUUCUGUAUUGUUUGAAGGGCCAUGUUGGCAAAUAUGGGAAGUUGUAAAGUGAAUAAAAAAAUAUUUCAUGUACAA